CCGGCACGGGUGAGUAACACGUAUCCAACCUGCCGUCUACUCUUGGACAGCCUUCUGAAAGGAAGAUUAAUACAAGAUGGCAUCAUGAGUUCACAUGUUCACAUGAUUAAAGGUAUUCCGGUAGACGAUGGGGAUGCGUUCCAUUAGAUAGUAGGCGGGGUAACGGCCCACCUAGUCUUCGAUGGAUAGGGGUUCUGAGAGGAAGGUCCCCCACAUUGGAACUGAGACGCGGUCCAA
RNAcentral lists this ribosomal RNA (237 nucleotides) under uncultured bacterium. Its description in RNAcentral is "partial 16S ribosomal RNA". It matches the Rfam family "Bacterial small subunit ribosomal RNA", at positions 100 to 334 of the family's 1533-position model. The record is from RNAcentral.